Molecule: long non-coding RNA, 1270 nt
Organism: Notolabrus celidotus (New Zealand spotty)
Lineage: Eukaryota; Metazoa; Chordata; Actinopteri; Labriformes; Labridae
Exons: 2
Source: RefSeq, a predicted model, not a curated record
GGAAAAUGUCCGCUCUCUACUCUGUUUUGUGACCCGAGGCUGUCAGAAGAGCCUUUGUUCUUGAUGUUAAAUUUUCUCCUAUUUGUUUGUUAUCACAGGAACCCAACAGACUGUGUUUUCCUAAAAUGUGAGCCUACACUGCAAGAACAAGCCUGUUGUUCUUGUUGUUUCCACUCACACCGCCUGCUUCCCACAGUGUAACAUGCAGAUUCCAGCUCUGUGUGUUUUUCUUGAAGUAAGAACCACAGGUGAAGACCAGUCAGUGUGGCCGUACCUUCCCCUCCAGCUUCUGGAUGAUCUUCUUCCCUCCUUUCAGAGCCAUCUGCUCGGCCUCGUCCAGCCGCCCGCUCAUGUCUUUAAUCUGAGCCUCCAGACCUUUCUUCACCCUCUCCAGGUGGAGCGUGUGCUCCUGCUCCAGACGCAGCUCCUCCCCCACCCGCGCCACCUAAAAGAGUCGGACACCGUUCAUGAAACAAACACUCUCUACAACGAAGGAGUUCAAUCUCUGCUGCUGUCACAUCUCAGCUCACCUCACUGCUGGCCUUCUUGCUCUUAUCCGUGGAUCCUCUCAGCUCUCCCAGCAGCUCCUCGUGCUCCUGCUGCAGAGUCUGCAGGUCCACCUCCAUCUUCCUCCUCCCGCUCAGAGCAGACUGGAACUGCAACACCAAAGAAAGUCGUCAGUUUGGGUCUCUCCUGGUUUUUUGCAGGACUCCAGAGAAAACAGGCUCCUUUUAUCACCUGGUUGUUGAGGUCGCUGUAUUUCUCGUUGGCCUCCUGCAGCUCGGUCUCCAGGCUCUUUCUCGCCCUCUCUGCGCUCUCCAGAGCUGCACGAGUCUCCUCCCCCUCGCUGACCAGCAGGGCGCUGCGUCGCUCCACAGCUGCCUGCUCCUCCCUGCACUCCUCGUGGCUCCUCACCUCCUCCUCCAGCUGAGCCUGCAGCUCCUGAAACAGCAGAGUGUGUAGGUCCGCCUGCAGCUCCAGCUCGUUGAUGUCAGACUCCAGCUUCUUCUUCAGCUUCAGGCCCUCCGCUCGGCCCUUCAGCUCAACAUCAAGACUGGCCUGCACGGACUCCAGCGCCCUCUGGUGGCUUUUCCUGACAGACGAGGAGAGAGACAGAUUUUAAAAGGACUUGCUACCUUUUAAUGUGUGCAUGCCUUUCUGCAGAGAGAGGAAGAGGAGGAUCGCUCAGACAAGCCUUACCUCGAAGAGUUAAUGGACAAUCACUUUGUCAAAUAGAUGAAGGGAAAUAAAGGAGAAGAAGAAAAACAGA